Molecule: long non-coding RNA, 3356 nt
Organism: Xenopus tropicalis (tropical clawed frog)
Lineage: Eukaryota; Metazoa; Chordata; Amphibia; Anura; Pipidae
Exons: 3
Source: RefSeq, a predicted model, not a curated record
GGGCAGAAAAGAAUCACUCAGCUGUAUCAGGUUUGGCAAAGAAACAGGGCACGCACUUUUAUAUCAUUCUUUCUCCGAAGGUAAUCGAGUGAAUACGUUAUUGUUUGCUUAGCCAAUUAGCCAUGCCAAACAGGAUGUUUCUGCAGUCUCUGGCAAAUGGUAGGUGGUGGAGCUGGAAGAAUAGUUGAGACAAAACCUAUGUGUAGAGAAGACAUGGAAAUCGGCCCUACCUGAUUAAGCUUUGGUAUCUAAUGAACCACAAACUCUUAUUUUCAGGUCCUUGUCUGAGUUCAGCAUUCCUUUUGUUUAGCUAUAUUAUCACGUUGUGAUUGUACCGACUAUGGAGCUUGGAAUCAUGUUCCAUCCGUCUUUCUAGGAUGCUCCCUGCUGAAAAUUCUAAUGAAGACCUUGGGAUUGUAUUGCUUAUUAUGAGUACGUAGUGGGGGAAAAGGAAGAGGAAAGGGAUAUCGUGGAUUCUACCAUUCAGAGUCUAGGUCAUAUUCAUAUGAGAAGAGGCCAAGCAAUUUCAGUGGAAAAAAACAAAGAUUAUUAAGGUCAAGGAGCAUUUUCUGAUAGGUGCAGUUAAAAUUAUCUGCUGUAUUAUUAUGGGAUGCAUAAAAUCAAAGCAAGAGUGCAACUUGCACAAAACUAUACGGUUGAAGAGAAAUAAAGAAAAUGAUGAGAUGCACAAUAAAGAGAAGGUUUGUUUGGUCCAAGCUAACCAGGAAGAUAGUAAAUUCUGCUCAUGCACUGCUAGUCCACUGCUUUUGGAGUAUGCCCACCGGCUAUCAGAGGAUAUUGUAAACAAGGCUGUGAGACAGUGGGCAGAAGUGGACAGCAAGUACAGUGAUAUCCCCUACAUAGAAAGUGAUGCAGUAUGAAAAGUUGCAAACACAAAACACUAAUAGUUUGCAACUGAUUUGUUUAGUACAGAAAUUGUCAUAGAUAGCUCAUAUAUUUUUUAUAAUAUACCAUCUACAAUGUUUUAAAUGUAAAAGAAACCUUGCUAAAACCAAAUCGAGCAAUGGGACAUGAAACUAUGGUUAGCAGAGGUAACCAAAGUUAACUUCUUGCUGUCCUCCUUAACUAUGCAAUACAAUUCAUCAUGUUAAACUAACAUCUAAAUUAACCAGAUGCAAAAGUACACCAUUAAAUCCUUAAGCAGCUGAUGGGAAAUUUAUUUCAGAGCUUCUAGUUGAAAUUACAUAAAAACAUAUAGGCAAGUUAAUUUACUUCUGAUACAAAACAUCUUAGUCUGUUGUGUAAAUGCAACAGGGCCUUAGACUGUAAACUCCUCUGAGACAGAGACUGAUGUCAGUGAUAAACAGUGCACAUUUGUCAGUGCUAUAUAAUGGAAAAUAAAUUAAAUUGAAAUGACAGUUAUCUAAAACAGAUACUUAUGCCAAUGGGUUUUAAAGUAGUGCAUUUUAAGUACUUUCUCCCAAGAUUUAAAGACAGUUUACAGCUAUAUAGACCGGCAAUAAAAAAAGACAUAAUUUACAUUUCUCAUGGUAAAAGUGAAAGACUUGUUUUGCAGCCAGUGGAUGAAUUCAAUUUUGUAAAUUAAUAGUUCGAAAAAUGUAACCAAUUCUCUUCUGUGGAGAAGGCAUUGAGAUGUGCUUGGUAUUUUUCCCAUAAUAUGUAAAAUCUUUAUAACAGAAAAUAAGCAGACAGGAUAUGGUCAGAAACUUAUUGAGGCUAUAAUAGUAACUACAAAGGACAAUUAAGUAAUCCCACCUUCCUUAACAGAUGGCAUCUACAUAACAGUAAUCAUAUCAGAUGCAUGGUACAAACAAAAAGAACUGAAACAGCUGGAUACAGAUUAAUAGCAUGUUUUGGGGGCACAUGCACAGUAUUUUGUAUAAAAGCAUUUUUGAAAUAUUCUUUCCCAUAAUCCUCUGGAAUGCAGCUGACUGCUUUGGUGGCUAAAAAUAUUGUAACCCUUUUUAACCACGUUGCCUUUUUCAUGUACAUAUUCAUCUACUGCCAAGCUUUCUUGCGCAUUUUGCACUCAUUACAGUUUUUUAGGUUUUUGUUACAAAAAUAACUCUAAGACAAAUUCUUUAUCAUCUGAAUACACUGGGCUAUAACAUGCACAUUUUAAUUUUUACAAAAUGAAUUUUGUAAUUUGAGAUGUAACCAAAAUUUGGGUAAAAUAAAAAAAAAAAUAUUCAUAGUUUGUGUUUUUUCCUAAGAAAAAAUGGACUUAUAUAAAAGCAUACAGAGAUACCAAACACAACAAUUUUCUUGUCCAGGACAUCCAAAAUAUCCCAAACUAACUUACAACAUAACAUAUAAAAUAUAUAUAAUUAUACUAUGAAUAAUUUUGUAUAAAGCUAAAUAUCAAUACUAAUUACAAAUCCAAUGAACACACCACAUAAUUGUGGUGCAACUGUGAUAUAAGUAUGACUAUAACACAUUCUGAAACACUCUAUGAAACAUAACUCUCUAUCCCUUCAGCACAGAUUAUAUAUGAAUAUUGUAGGUAAGUCAUUUAGCUCUUGCUGUUUUAUUUACACUGUGCAAAUUCUUCCUGAGAAUCACACCAUGCCAGCCCUGUUUUAUUAACUGCCUCCCUGGAUUAUCCUGCUUAUCUGUGGCAAUAAAUUUGGCCUCAAUCAUUUCCCUGACCCAUCACAGAGUUUUAAAUUAACUCAGCUAUUUUUCUCAGUGCUGAGAAUAAAAGAAAACACAAGCAGACACAGAAAAAGGUAGAAAAUAGUUGCUCUUUGCUCCAGAAAUAGCAAAAUACUCAGGCCAGGGUCAACUGGGCAUCUAACACUAGUCUGCUACAAAAAAGUUGGAAUAUAAAUAUAUACAUUAUAUAUUAUAUAUAUACACACACACACACAUAGAGGCAGUCCCCAGGUUACGUAUGAGGUUCUGUAGGUUUGUUCUGAAACUGAAUUUGUGUGUAAGUUGGAACAGGUAAAUUUACAUAUUAAAUGCAACUUAGAUGUUUGUCCUAACAUAGUAUUUAUUUUUACCUUUCUGUGUAUAUAAAUACUUUAACAGUUUCAAAUACCAGUAUUAGAGAUUCAGGGUCUGAUUCUGCUGCUGGAGUCAGUUUCUUGAAGUAAGCACCAAGGGAGGUUUGUACAGAGAUUAUCUUUUUUUCAUCAUAAAUGGCCAUUUAGCAUCUCAGGUCUUAGGUAACUGUACUGUAAACUUUGCUGAACCUUUCUGAAUAAGGAUCUUGGUCCUCUAACUUUGCCAUGCCUGCUUCAUUGAGACAAAAAACAUCAGCUAACUGUUUUGUAGGAAACUUUUUUCAGUUUUGUAGUUUGAUGCCUUAUGUCUUGGUGUACUUUUUUCCUUCUAUAUUAAAAAUUUGUAAAUCUCCCUCAUCAAUAAUA